AACGCGAAGAACCUUACCCAGGCUCGAAAUGUAAAGGACGAUAUCAGAGAUGAUAUUUUCCGCAAGGACCUUUAUAUAGGUGCUGCAUGGCUGUCGUCAGCUCGUGCCGUGAGGUGUUUGGUUAAGUCCAGCAACGAGCGCAACCCUUAUCAUUAGUUGCCAACACGCAAGGUGGGGACUCUAGUGAGACUGCCUAGGUUAACUAGGAGGAAGGUGAGGAUGACGUCAAGUCCGCAUGGCCUUUAUGUCUGGGGCUACACACGUGCUACAAUGGUCGGUACAGAAGGCAGCAAGACCGCAAGGUGGAGCAAAUCCGUAAAGCCGAUCACAGUUCAGAUUGGAGUCUGCAACUCGACUCCAUGAAGUUGGAAUUGCUAGUAAUGACGUGUCAGCAACAACGUCGUGAAUACGUUCCCGGGCCUUGUA
This 426-nucleotide ribosomal RNA is filed under the name uncultured Chlamydiae bacterium. Its description in RNAcentral is "bacterial SSU rRNA". It matches the Rfam family "Bacterial small subunit ribosomal RNA", at positions 958 to 1385 of the family's 1533-position model. The record is from RNAcentral. Lineage: Bacteria; Pseudomonadati; Chlamydiota; Chlamydiia.